This 75-nucleotide transfer RNA is filed under the name Gemmatimonadaceae bacterium. RNAcentral's name for it is "tRNA-Arg". It matches the Rfam family "tRNA". Rfam says of the family: Transfer RNA (tRNA) molecules are approximately 80 nucleotides in length. RNAcentral also lists the same sequence under 1 other name. Lineage: Bacteria; Pseudomonadati; Gemmatimonadota; Gemmatimonadia; Gemmatimonadales; Gemmatimonadaceae. The record is from RNAcentral.
GCCCCUGUAGUUAAACGGAUAUAACGGAGGAUUCCUAAUCCUCAAUUCUGGGUUCAAUUCCCGGCAGGGGUACCA